This 439-nucleotide ribosomal RNA is filed under the name uncultured bacterium. RNAcentral's name for it is "partial 16S ribosomal RNA". It matches the Rfam family "Bacterial small subunit ribosomal RNA", at positions 339 to 795 of the family's 1533-position model. The record is from RNAcentral.
CUACGGGAGGCAGCAGUGAGGAAUAUUGCACAAUGGGGGGAACCCUGAUGCAGCAACGCCGCGUGGAGGAUGACGCAUUUCGGUGUGUAAACUCCUUUUAUAUGUCAAGAAAAUGACGGUAGCAUAUGAAUAAGCACCGGCUAACUCCGUGCCAGCAGCCGCGGUAAUACGGAGGGUGCAAGCGUUACUCGGAAUCACUGGGCGUAAAGGACGCGUAGGCGGGUUGGAAAGUCAGGUGUGAAAUCCUACAGCUUAACUGUAGAACCGCACUUGAAACUUCUAAUCUAGAGUAUGGGAGGGGGAGAUGGAAUUAGUGGUGUAGGGGUAAAAUCCGUAGAUACCACUAGGAAUACCUAAAGCGAAGGCGAUCUCCUGGAACAUUACUGACGCUAAGGCGUGAAAGCGUGGGGAGCAAACAGGAUUAGAUACCCUUGUAGUC